GAUAGUGGCGACGGGUGAGUAACACGUGGGCAAUCUGCCCUUCACUCUGGGACAAGCCCUGGAAACGGGGUCUAAUACCGGAUGACACUCUGUCCUGCAUGGGAUGGGGUUGAAAGCUCCGGCGGUGAAGGAUGAGCCCGCGGCCUAUCAGCUUGUUGGUGGGGUAAUGGCCUACCAAGGCGACGACGGGUAGCCGGCCUGAGAGGGCGACCGGCCACACUGGGACUGAGACACGGCCCAGACUCCUACGGGAGGCAGCAGUGGGGAAUAUUGCACAAUGGGCGGAAGCCUGAUGCAGCGACGCCGCGUGAGGGAUGACGGCCUUCGGGUUGUAAACCUCUUUCAGCAGGGAAGAAGCGAGAGUGACGGUACCUGCAGAAGAAGCGCCGGCUAACUACGUGCCAGCAGCCGCGGUAAUACGUAGGGCGCAAGCGUUGUCCGGAAUUAUUGGGCGUAAAGAGCUCGUAGGCGGCUUGUCACGUCGGAUGUGAAAGCCCGGGGCUUAACCCCGGGUCUGCAUUCGAUACGGGCUAGCUAGAGUGUGGUAGGGGAGAUCGGAAUUCCUGGUGUAGCGGUGAAAUGCGCAGAUAUCAGGAGGAACACCGGUGGCGAAGGCGGAUCUCUGGGCCAUUACUGACGCUGAGGAGCGAAAGCGUGGGGAGCGAACAGGAUUAGAUACCCUGGUAGUCCACGCCGUAAACGUUGGGAACUAGGUGUUGGCGACAUUCCACGUCGUCGGUGCCGCAGCUAACGCAUUAAGUUCCCCGCCUGGGGAGUACGGCCGCAAGGCUAAACUCAAAGGAAUUGACGGG
This 812-nucleotide ribosomal RNA is filed under the name Streptomyces sp. RNAcentral's name for it is "bacterial SSU rRNA". It matches the Rfam family "Bacterial small subunit ribosomal RNA", at positions 91 to 917 of the family's 1533-position model. Lineage: Bacteria; Bacillati; Actinomycetota; Actinomycetes; Kitasatosporales; Streptomycetaceae. The record is from RNAcentral.